GGGGGCGACCUGGUUUCGACGGGGGUCGCGAAGCAGCGCAGGGCAUACCGAGGGUCAGAGUACCUCGUAAAUCCAACUGAAAAUCGUU
This 88-nucleotide transfer-messenger RNA is filed under the name Hydrogenophilales bacterium 17-61-76. RNAcentral describes it as "partial transfer-messenger RNA". It matches the Rfam family "transfer-messenger RNA", at positions 1 to 88 of the family's 374-position model. Rfam says of the family: Bacterial tmRNA, also known as 10Sa RNA or SsrA, is named for its dual tRNA and mRNA-like properties. Its role is to liberate the mRNA from a stalled ribosome. Lineage: Bacteria; Pseudomonadati; Pseudomonadota; Hydrogenophilia; Hydrogenophilales. The record is from RNAcentral.